CUUGCUAAAAUAUAAGAGGUCCAGCCUGCCCAGUGACCCAGUUCAACGGCCGCGGUAUCCUAACCGUGCGAAGGUAGCGUAAUCACUUGUUCUUUAAAUGGGGACUAGUAUGAAUGGCAUCACGAGGGUUGAACUGUCUCCUUUCUCUAAUCAGUGAAACUAAUCUCCCCGUGAAGAAGCGGGAAUCAUUUUAUAAGACGAGAAGACCCUAUGGAGCUUAAAACAAAUUAACACAUGCCUCCACCUACUUCAAUUCCUGAAUAAAUAUACAAAAUAUAGCAUCAUUGAUUAAUAGUUUUAGAUUGGGGUGAUCAUGGAGCAAAAAACAACCUCCACGACGAAAAGGAGUAUUCCCUGAGCCAAAAGCCACAACUUUAAGCACUAAAAAAUUAACGCAUCUUGACCCAAUUUUUUGAGCAACGAAC
This 425-nucleotide ribosomal RNA is filed under the name Boana calcarata group sp. ABGD cluster 17. Its description in RNAcentral is "partial large subunit ribosomal RNA". It matches the Rfam family "Bacterial large subunit ribosomal RNA", at positions 1834 to 2404 of the family's 2925-position model. Lineage: Eukaryota; Metazoa; Chordata; Amphibia; Anura; Hylidae. The record is from RNAcentral.